UCCCGACGCUCCAAGUCGCAUCCACAUUUAUUGGGUCUAAAACAUUCGUAGCUUGUUUAUUAAGUUCCUUGUGAAAUCUUGAAUCUUAAGUUCAAGGCGUGCAAGGAAUACUGAUAGGCUUGAGACUGGAAGAAGCAAGAAGUAUGAUCGAGGUAGUGGUAAGAUAUGUUAAUCUCGAUCAGACUAACAACAGCGAAGGCAUCUUGCUAGUACAGAUCUGACAGUGAGGAAUGGUGGCUAGGGUCGCGAACAG
This 253-nucleotide ribosomal RNA is filed under the name uncultured archaeon. RNAcentral describes it as "partial 16S ribosomal RNA". It matches the Rfam family "Archaeal small subunit ribosomal RNA", at positions 474 to 726 of the family's 1478-position model. The record is from RNAcentral.